This 77-nucleotide microRNA precursor is filed under the name Ovis aries (sheep). RNAcentral describes it as "miRNA (ENSOARG00000021227.1)". Lineage: Eukaryota; Metazoa; Chordata; Mammalia; Artiodactyla; Bovidae. The record is from RNAcentral.
UUGGGUUGCCGAGAAGUUUGUUUGGGCAUUUUUCUACAGUGUUAGGAAAAACCUGGACAAACUUUUUGGUCAACCCA